This is a non-coding RNA of Lonchura striata (white-rumped munia), 5179 nucleotides long. NCBI's taxonomy places the organism in Eukaryota, Metazoa, Chordata, Aves, Passeriformes, Estrildidae. The record is from RefSeq and is a predicted model, not a curated record.
GAAAAAAAUAUUGUGGUAAUCUUUUAAGUGCUUAUAGCUUUAAGUGCCAUUAAUGCUGUCAUAUUUUGUAACUUUUUAAAAAAUAUUUUAAAUUAUUUUGUUCAUUUCCUUUCAAGUACAAUCUUUGUUGGAAAUUUCCUGUCCCUUUUAUUGAUAAAAACUAAACAUGAGCUCUCUGCAUUUCUAGACUAAAGUGAAAUGUAACUAAACUGUGGGCAUUUUUAAAAAUCCUUUGUGCUGUCAGGGCAUAUGGAUAUGAAAAAUAGAAUUGUGUUUUCAAAGAAAAUGCUGCAAAAUAAUUAAUGGGAAUUGCAAAACAUACUAAAUUUUUUAUAGUGUUGACCUGUGGGCUACUGGGUGGGCCAUUGCAUAUAGAAGAUUUUGCAUGCUGGAAAUGAGAUACACAUGAUUGUACCAGCAAUGCUAAAUAUUAUUGCAACUCAAACUGUAGGCUUAUAGGCAAGAUAAGCAUGGAUAUUGAUUGCAGAGACUCUUGCAAGCUGGUCAAACAUGCAGACAUCCAAAGGUCAUGCAGACACAGACUUUUGGAAUUGCAUGCUGUUGUCUAUGUACACAAAAGUGCAUGUAUGUGAUACUUUCUGAGAAUUUAUGCACACUACGACAACUCAAAAUCAAACUGGCCACCAGAAUUCAAGAUUGCCAUGGCUAUGAAUGGAAGCAUGGCACUGUGUAUGCAAAUUUUCAGUAUGUAUAUUUGAGUAUACAUAUAUAUAUAUAUAUAUAUAUAUAAAAUUACUCUGCUGAAUUUGCGGGAGUGAACCAAAUUCCACUAGUGCAGAGGAAGAAAAAAGUUUUUAGCUUGAUCUGUCAGUCCACUUCUCUUGAAAUGUCCUAUCAUAUUUCUAAUUUCAUUAUCUGUCUGAAAAUCAAGGAAAAAAAGCAACAUUUGAAAAAUUUCAGGUAAUUUGGAAUUGCUCUAACUUAAUAAGAUCCAAGAGAAAAUGAAUUCUGCUUACUUCACCAGUGAAUCUUCUAAGGUGCAGGGCUGCACUCUGGCUUCACCUUACCAGAGACAGGGCAGUAAGCGCAGACCCUGGAGAAGGUUCCACUUAACUCAGGAGCUGCCGUGGCUUCUGGAAAGUUCUGUGCCAGACAGUCCUCUGCCUGGCUUCACAAGCACGCUUGUUUGUCACCAUCCUGGGAUCCCAGGCUCCUCAAGCCCCAGGCAAACACCAGCAAGGUGCAGAUCUCCUCAAGCUCUGGAGCUCUUUAGCCUACCUGUUACUGCUGGUUUUGGGCAGGCUUUGAAUUCCAGAUAUGAGCAAAUGUUCUGAAGUCUCAUGCAUGAGCAUCACUAAUUCUGUAGUGUCAGGAUGGAUGAAGCAUGUCUGGAUGUACUAAGGCUGUUCAAAUCUGGUGUUUUUUUGGUAGGAGGUUAGGAGUGAAAGCUACAGUUUAGAUUUGCGUUUGAAUUCCAGCAAAGGUUCAGAAGUGCUGAGAUGUACAAUUUGGGUCUGAGAAUUGCAGUAAUUCCUUGUUACAUCAUCCUGCGCUUUGCAUCUGUGAAGGAUCUGGCACCCAAAAUCAUCUCAUCUGACUCUGAAAGCAUGCAAUACAUUCACUUUUGCAAAUACUUCUCUUUGGUAACCAGAUGUCAAGAUCAACAUAAUGCAUACAGUGUUAUCUGUUCUUCAGAUGAGUUCUUCUCACAAGAAACGCUUGCCUGCAAUAAAAAGGUUCUGCAUAGUCACACAGACAUCUGCAAGGAUAUAGGAGAUGCAUUUUCUAUAUAUGAAAUAUAAACUUUAGCCAUUGCCAGGACAUUUCUUCUGAUUAGGGUCAGGGAAAGUAAUGUCUGUCUUGUAGGAAUUGUCUGUGUGAGCAGGAAGUUGGACAACAGGCAAAUCACAGAAAACAAGUCAACAUGGAAAAGUGAGGAGGCAAAAUUUGUUGGGCAAACUCAGAACUGUUUGAUCUGAUGCAACAGGACAAUGACAUCUUGGCAUACUUUUAAUUGUAACUUUCUGAGUUAUCAGUCUGUCCCCUGUCCAGAUUCUAGGUGAUGGCAUGUGUGUGUCAUUCUAGUUUCUGUUUGGCCAUGCCAUGCAGGAGCCCCUGGCUGUCAUUUUGUCAGCUGUUUCUUCAGCAUCCCGUGCUUUGGGAUAUAAUAGUUCAGGGACAAAAGAUGAUGCUCAAUAAACUCUCAGUGAGAUACUGAGCAGAGCAUUUGAUGACCUUUUAUAUGAAAGCAAAAUGCUCUCUUUCAUUCCUCUCCAUUUCUUGUGUCUGCAAAACUUGCUGAGAAAGUUGCCAGGCUAUGACAGGAGCAAAUAUUUUCUGCUAGAUGAUUGCCUAUUAAAUACCUCAAUAUACAUAAUUUUUAUUAUAGUAUGGGAAGUGCAAAUGGUGUAUUUCAUAGGGAGCCAGACAGAAACAUCUUGACACCUAAAUUGACAUUUUAAUGAGCUAAAUUGCUUUUCCCUUUUUAAAUGGCAUCCCUUGGUUUUAAUUGUCUGCAACAGCCUGAGAGAGAAUCUCAAUUCAAACAUCAAGUGUUUUUAUGGCUAAAAUUCUCAUCUUCUGGCAUUUAGAAACACCUAUAAAAAACUUGUCAAGUUAUUUCUAGUGAGGCUAUUUCAUUAUAGAAAGGUUUUAGCAAAAGUAGUCUAAACCAUAUCUAAAACGUCCUUCUCUACAUUAGGCCCUUUCCCAGCAGCCUGAAAAUAAGAAAUUGAACAAAUGGGUGGGUUAUGGACUUUAACUCUCUGAUCCUGCCCUGAGCAUAACAUGACUUGACAUGGGAAUUGGGCCCAGAAAAAAUAAAGAAAUAUGGAUUUUAUGUAGAUGCAGCCCUCUCACACAGAGGAUGACUCAGCUGCUGUAUCCCUACAGCUUUCAGCUCUGCAGUCCCACUUUCCAUUGUCUUGUGCAGGAGAAUUCUGCUAUGCCACUUUGGGGAUCCUUCUGAACCAUUAACCAUCAUAAGCAUCACUGAGCUUGUGCAUAUACUGGUUUUCAGAAGAUUUGUAAUUUUAUUACCACUUAAUAGGGAACAUUAUUUCUAAUAAAUCCUAAAAGUAAUAGUAAAUAAAAUACAAUAAUCCCUCUUCUCUCCCCCUGUGCUCUAUUUUCAUAGAACCUUAUUUGGAUUGUGGCCAUGAAAUUAUAAAUCACCUGAUCUUCUGCUGCCUGGCUUUAGGAUGUCACUAGCACCAGUCUGCUUCCUCCAAAGCCAUUAAAGGACUAUGCCAGAGAUGUUAUGCAAAAAUCUCUAACCCAUAAUAAAUGAAAUUAUGUCUGAGUUCAGGUUAUUAAAACCUUGUCCUUAAAAGCCCUUCAUUGAAGUAUUUGUAUUUAUGCUGUACAUGGGCUGUUUGUUUGCCAGCUUUGGUUUUCUCAGGGGUUUAUUUGUGUUGUCAAGGUUGCAUGAUGUCUGCUACUCUCACUUUUCCCAUCGUCCACUAGAAAUAAAUUACAGGUAAAGACCAAGCAUCAUGUUAUGUUGUGUACUAACCUAGAGCAGGAAGUCUCCUACUAAACAGAUAUGAAUUUGAAAGGUGACUGAGAACUUUUUCAGACCUCCCUGUACAUUUACUGGUUCUGAGCUACAUUUUGUCUAAUCUAGGCCAAAAUCUGCUCCUGCAAGUCUCUGCGGUGAAGUGAAGCUGCCUUGUUAUUUUUAAGAUUUUUAUGGCAAAUGCUUGCUGUUAUAACUCAUCUCUACAGUGCAAUUUAUACUUACGAGAAUGGCAUUGUAUCAAUACUUAACACAAAUAAGCUCAGCUUCAGAAACAGUUCCCUAGGCAUUUAAUUAUCAAUGAAACACCAGGCAAAUCAACAUAAAUCUGCAGAACUCAAAUAAAGGCUUGUAGAUUAAUGUAUGAAACUGGUUGGGUGAAAUGUAUCACCAAAAAAUGUACAUCUGAAAAUUCAUUUGGGUUGCUGAAAUUUUCCCAAGGUCCCCAUCUCCUUUACUAUCAGUAACAGUUACUCUUCUUAAUACCAUUGCUAAACUGGAUUGUAUUUUUAACUCCAUCCACUGCAACUGCAGUUCAUAACAUUGUUAGUCUCUGUUGACUUGUGCUGUUGAAAUCAUGGAGGAAGCUGUUGCAAAAGCUAAUUUGGAGCUGUCCUGAUGCAUAAUCUGUGAGCUAGAUCAUGCUGGGAUGGGAAGGUCACCCUAAAGGCAAGCCUUAUUAUCCACCACACUGGUGAGUUCUUAGGAACCAGAUGAAGAAUGGCCCCAUGCUAACACCCCUCAUGUGGCACACAUAACUAGCUCUUGUGCACAGAAUUUCUGGUGAUGUCUCCUUGCUCCAUGCAGGUAGAUGCAAACUUCUUUGUCCCUCCUCACUGGUUACAGGUCCUAUCUGAGCUAAGUCUUAUCACCAGGAAAUGACAGGGCUGGCUGCUGCUUUUGGGGGAAAGGGGACAUUUCUAUAGCAUUUAGCCUUUUGAGGCAAAGAGGAUCUGCUUUCCCUCGCUGAUCUUCACAGCAAAGCAAAGGCAGGUGAUACUUGACAUGUGAGGAUACUUUCAUCUCCCAAAUACAUUCUAUCCCCAAAUUCCUUUUUAUUGUGAGAGCUGGAUGCUCUCAAGAGGAAAGUUUAUAGUGCCUGUUGUGACAUGUAAGCUGAACAUACCAGCUUUCAGCCUAUCACUUAGCAGUUUCUCAGAUCCUGGAUUCAUAUAGUAGCUUUAAUUAGAAAAAAAAGCAGAGUUUGUGUCUAGAUCAUAUCUUCCCAACAAUUUAAAUUUAUUCAGAGCAGUGUAUCAAUGUAGUUUUAGAGUGAUUUUUUCCCAAGUUUUAAUAGAAUUUGAUCUAGAUCUUGGACAGUACUGAGGAACUACUAUUAGUCUUUUUCAGCUUUGUGUUUAAAAAAGAAGUUUCUUAAAACUUGGGGAAACAUUUUUUAAUGUUCUAAAAUUUUUUCCUGAUCAACCUCAAAUUAUACUAUAAACAAUCAGUAAAACCACUUGCAAGGGUAUUCUAUCUGCUUUCUUGUCUCUGUCCCUCUUUCACUCUUUCUGUAAGAUUCAAUGGUGCUUUAGAAAGGCAUUCUCAGAAAAAUGAAAAUUUCAGAAGUGUCAUUACCAGAGUUCAGAGCAGAAUGUGCUUGUACCAACUUGAUAAGUUUUGCUGCUAUUGUCUUUAUUUUAUGAUGUAAUGUUUUGAAAGAUUAAAAAAAUUGCAACAAAGACCAUCCAGAUGAAAACA